GCGCGCGGCGUAGGCGCACCUUCGCUCUGUCGGCCGUGGUUUAGUAAGCACACACCUGCCUGCUACUCUGGUUAUCGUGGCGACGGCAGGUCUGGAUUGCCAGACAGGUUUUUCUUUUUACCUCGAGGCUUUCUCUGAAGGGAGUCGGAGCAUUUAAAAGGCGGCCUCAAGGUGGAUUGAGUCGGGGGAGGAUUAGCAGUAUUUGCUUAGGUUGUAAAACCGCGACUUUAUCUAAUAAAUCGCCAUUCAAGGUGCAAAUACAAACUUGGAACAGAGAUAUAAAUGAAUUCCUCAAGGUCAGAGACUGUUUUUAUUCAUUUCUACAUCUCCAACACCUGGCAAAGUGCCUAGGCCAUAAAAGAUGAUCUGCCUCUGAAACCUUCCAUGGGCACAGAAAUUUCUGCAAGGAAAGCAUCAGCAACCAGAAUAAUUUGGUGAGGAAGAUUUGGCACAGAAUACCCUGACUGAGGUAUUGCUCCAAAAGGAGCAAUCCUCUGGGGUUAGGAGUCAAUUAUUAGGUGCCUACAAAACACUCUGUUAUUUCGACUAAACAUGCCUUGCUGUAAAGGAGAAGAAAGAACUGUGCACUGAAAACCAGAACAGCCAAAAAAGAAUGUGGCUGUGGUCAUGGGAAAGGUCUUUGAAUAACAGGGAAAAGGAGACAGGGCAGUUGAAGGAAGGAUAAGAAAAGGCUACUUCCUAGCAGGAAUUAAUAAACUAAUGUUUUUAUUAUUUAAUAGAAACCCAUUCUUUUCUUUCAAAUAAGGCAGAGAUAAGUUAGGAUUGGAUGUAGCUAUAUAGAUCCCUAUUUCUGGCACAGGCUGAUAGCAAUAAAGGAAGUCAGAACACAACCCCACUCUCACCCACAUCCCACUUUGCAAAAACCAUGACCCAAAUGCCUCUGUAGAUACUGG
This 914-nucleotide long non-coding RNA is filed under the name Pan troglodytes (chimpanzee). Its description in RNAcentral is "lincRNA". The record is from RNAcentral. Lineage: Eukaryota; Metazoa; Chordata; Mammalia; Primates; Hominidae.